This 3738-nucleotide unclassified non-coding RNA is filed under the name Lytechinus variegatus (green sea urchin). Its description in RNAcentral is "merlin-like, transcript variant X1". Lineage: Eukaryota; Metazoa; Echinodermata; Echinoidea; Temnopleuroida; Toxopneustidae. The record is from RNAcentral.
CAUUCCUCGGCAGACUGGUGCUUCAACACUAUUUUAAGUGAUGAUUCAAUAAUGACAAUGUUACAUUGCUUCAACUUAUCGUGAAAAUACUAGACCAGUCUUGUGUACAUUACAAAGUUCGUGAGUGAGCUGAGAGGGGAACAAGUGGCCGACUGACGUUACACUUCUUUCAAAGAAAAACAUUCUGUUGAUUUCUUGUGUAUGUAAUUCAACACACUAUUCAGAAGAAUAUUUAUUGGCUCUUCUAUUGUGCUGUGAAAGGAACGAUAUCAUGAUUCUCUUGUUUCUCCCUGCCUUGUUCCACUACGAUUGACGCUCGCUUUGCUUUACAACCGGGGCCUUGCGGUCCGAGUAGCCAAGACACGCAUGCACGGAGAAGUGCGUGGAAUACCAGUUGCAUGAAUCAUAACACCACCACCAACGGGAGUUAGAUGAUUGGAUGGGCGUGCUCUGGCGAAGGAGCUGGUCCGCUGACAUAGCUGCAGCAGAAUCGCGGAUGUGCUAUUUGUAGCUGAGUGCUACAACUUACGGAGGUUCAUCAUCAUGUCGCUUAUGCGACGAUCACAAAAAACUUUUACUGUUAGAGUCCAGACUCUGGAUGCCGAAUUAGAAUUCAGCAUUGAUGUGAAGACUACUGGACGCCAAUUAUUUGACUUGGUGUGUCGUACUAUAGGAUUAAGAGAGACUUGGUAUUUUGGACUGCAAUAUGAGGAUUCUAAACGCUAUAUCGCAUGGCUCAAAAUGGACAAGAAGGUCCAAGAACAGAGUAUACCUAAAGAGGAGCCUGUUUCAUUCCUGUUCCUGGCCAAGUUCUAUCCUGAGGAGGCCUUUGAGGAGCUCAUCCAGGAAAUCACUCAACAUCUAUUCUUCCUCCAAGUCAAGCAGCUGAUACUUAACGAGGAGAUAUACUGUCCUCCGGAGGCCUCGGUGCUACUAGCCUCCUAUGCGGUCCAGGCAAAGUACGGUGACUACGAAGCUCAUGUCCAUCAGCGUGGUUUCCUUGCCAACGAGGAGCUGCUUCCUGGGAGGGUCAUAAGUCAAUUUGACAUGUCACCUAGCCAAUGGGAGGAAAGAAUCACAGCGUGGUAUGCUGAACAUGAAGGUCUCCUCAGAGAUGAGGCAGAAAUGGAAUACCUGAAAAUAGCCCAAGAUCUUGAAAUGUAUGGUGUCAGCUACUUUGAAAUCAAGAAUGAGAAAGGAACAAGCCUGAAUUUGGGAGUGGAUGCUACCGGUCUCAAUAUCUAUGAGCUUGACAACAAACUUGUACCAAAGAUAUCUUUCCCGUGGAGUGAAAUUAGAGAUAUAUCAUUUAGAGAUAAAAAGUUUACAAUAAAACCUACUGCAAAGAAAUCACCAAAUUUUUGCUUCAUCUCGCCAAAGCUACGAAUGAACAAACUUAUUCUUGAUCUUUGUGUUGGUAACCAUGAGCUCUUCAUGCAGAGAAGAAGAGCAGAUUCGAUGGAAGUACAGCAGAUGAAAGCUCAGGCAAGGGAAGAGAAAGCCAAGAGACAUAUUGAGAGAGAGAAGUUAAUUCAAGAGAGACAUCUCCGGCAGAAGGCAGAGCAGGAGAAGGAAGAGUUAGAGAAACAGCUUCGCCAUUUCCAAGAGGAGUCCCAGUUAGCUCACGAUGCGUUGGUGAGAUCAGAAGAGACGGCUGAGCUCCUGAAUGAAAAGGCUCAAGUAGCAGAAGAAGAAGCCAUGUUAUUAGCUCAGAAAGCCGACCAGGCUGAGAGAGAAAUCCAAGCUAUUAGAGUAGAAGCCAUCAAGACUGCAGAAGAGAAACGUUUGAUGGAGAUGAAGGCUCAUGAGGCUGAGUUCAUGGCUUUUCGGCUUGCAGAAGAGUCACAGCAAAGGAGUUUAGAAGCAGAAGAGUUAAAGCAACAGUUGUUCAAUGCAAGGCUGGCUGAAAAGGAGGCAAAGGAGAAGCUCAUACACAUCUCAACAAGAUCUCUUGUUCCGCAUUUAGAACGUAGCCAGAGCUCCCUGAGUAACGAACUAGCAGCACUCCAGCUGGAUCCUGAGCUCAGCUCUGGGGACAUGGACAUGAUGGAGGAUGUAGACGUGGAGAAACUCUCCAAGGACAUUGAAGAGAACCGGGUGGACUACCUGGAAAGAUCCAAACACCUCAAGAUGCAGCUUAAUGAACUCAAAUCAGAGAUUGAAGUCUUGAAGGUGGAGGAGAAACAAACUCAGCUGGAUCGGAUCUAUAAUGAGGUGAACAGUCGGGGCGAGAACAAGAAGACGACUCUGAGUAAGAUUAGCAAGGGUUCAACCAAAGCAAGGGUAGCCUUCUUUGAAGAGCUGUAAUGUAGUGGAUGAUCUGUGAAUCAACAUGAUGUGCAUUAUUGUCGUCAAGAAAUCAGAAAGAUCUUCAGCGGUGGUUCCCUAAUGCUCAGUUGCGUUCUUUGAAGUGUUGUGAUUAAGUGAGUAAUCCAAGGGUAAUUGUGAAUCAGCAUGUUUGUGUCAUUUUCCUCGGGGAUUCAGCAAUGGCUCUUAGGAUCAGUUGCCACCUUUCAAGAAUGUCCGGCAAAGGUUUCUCAACAUUCGGUCAUCUUCUUUGAAGUAUGACUAGAGGAUAACCUGACAUAUUUCCAUCAUUGUUGGAAAAUCAGCAAGGUCUCCUGCGAUGAUUCCUCAAGGCUCAAUUGCCUUUUUAGGCUAAAAAGACUUGAGAAAGUUAUCAACGUUUGCUACAAGGUGUGCAUCACCAUCUUUGAUGAGAAAUUAUGGAGCAGCUACAACAAUAAAAAAUGUGCUCUCUUUUUACCUAAAUCAACUAUAAUUUCAAUAAAUAUAAGGUCCUCUAUCGAGGAUCAAUGGAUAGAUGAUGGAGGACAUGAUAGUGAAUCCAGAAUGUCUGCUACUUCACUCUCCUUCAGGGAGAUUUUUUGAAAGUUUUGUCCCCAAUAUCACCAACAGAUGUUUACUCCAGAUCCUUGCAUGUGAUUGACUGAGAGCAACUUGGUGAAAAUCCCUGACCAAACUUUUCAUGAAACGCUCCCUAGGUCAGUAAGAGUUAAACCAUCAUAUUUGGGUCCUGUUACACAAAUCAAGUUACAAGAUAAAAUCAAUUGUACAAUUAGGGGUAACUGUAUUCCUAGCACACACACCAUAUACAAAAAGGAUGCAAUCAGUCGUAAAUUUGACUAUAACUUUUUUCUGUUACACCCCCAUUCUGUUCAUAUUUCUGAAGAAAAAAAAUCACAGUAACACAUUAAUUGGCUGGAAGAAGAAAGUAAACUUCUAAGAAGUUCACCAAUGUUUAGUUGAGCAUUGUUCAGUCUUUCAUUGCUCUGCCCUCAUUGCAACAUUGGUAUGGUUGGCAUCCUGUUUCAGCUUUGGUCACAAGUCAUGUACCUCCUUGUUUGUGUGUAGUUUGUUACUUUUAUAUGAAACCCUUGAAAUGCAUACACAAGGUUGCACAUUUUUAUCAAGCAUGCUUAACAUGAUGCAUGUGUAAGGUGUUCGGAUAAACGCAACCGACACAUGCAGCCAUCAUACUUAAUUCAUAUACUUCUUACAUGGAACAACAUGAGAAGGUCAUUUGAACUCCAUGCUUCAAAACUAAGGAAUGGCAUAUGUAGCAAGUUGAAAACAUUGAUUGUGCCUUGAAAAUGGGAUGCUGUACAUUCUCAAGAUUUCUCAGAGGGUUAUGAUAUCUGUGUAAAGACUCAGGAGAAGAUGCAGACGGGUAUAACAGAAAUCCGCUUUAAGUCACUUUCAGCUGAGAAGUAUGCA